CCUACGGGGGACUGCAGUCGAGAAUCAUUCACAAUGGGGGAAACCCUGAUGGUGCGACGCCGCGUGGGGGAAUGAAGUUCUUCGGAUUGUAAACCCCUGUCAUGUGGGAGCAAAUUAAAAAGAUAGUACCACAAGAGGAAGAGACGGCUAACUCUGUGCCAGCAGCCGCGGUAAUACAGAGGUCUCAAGCGUUGUUCGGAAUCACUGGGCGUAAAGCGUGCGUAGGCUGUUUCGUAAGUCGUGUGUGAAAGGCGCGGGCUCAACCCGCGGACGGCACAUGAUACUGCGAGACUAGAGUAAGGGAGGGGGAACCGGAAUUCUCGGUGUAGCAGUGAAAUGCGUAGAUAUCGAGAGGAACACUCGUGGCGAAGGCGGGUUCCUGGACAUUAACUGACGCUGAGGCACGAAGGCCAGGGGAGCGAAAGGGAUUAGAUACCCCAGUAGUC
RNAcentral lists this ribosomal RNA (446 nucleotides) under uncultured bacterium. RNAcentral describes it as "partial 16S ribosomal RNA". It matches the Rfam family "Bacterial small subunit ribosomal RNA", at positions 338 to 795 of the family's 1533-position model. The record is from RNAcentral.